RNAcentral lists this ribosomal RNA (462 nucleotides) under uncultured bacterium. RNAcentral describes it as "partial 16S ribosomal RNA". It matches the Rfam family "Bacterial small subunit ribosomal RNA", at positions 28 to 507 of the family's 1533-position model. The record is from RNAcentral.
GACGAACGCUGGCGGCGUGCUUAACACAUGCAAGUCGAACGGUAAGGCCUUUCGGGGUACACGAGUGGCGAACGGGUGAGUAACACGUGGGUGAUCUGCCCUGCACUUCGGGAUAAGCCCGGGAAACUGGGUCUAAUACCGGAUAGGACUGCGCGGUGCAUGCCGUGUGGUGGAAAGAUUUAUCGGUGCAGGAUGGGCCCGCGGCCUAUCAGCUUGUUGGUGGGGUAAUGGCCUACCAAGGCGACGACGGGUAGCCGGCCUGAGAGGGCGACCGGCCACACUGGGACUGAGACACGGCCCAGACUCCUACGGGAGGCAGCAGUGGGGAAUAUUGCACAAUGGGCGCAAGCCUGAUGCAGUGACGCCGCGUGAGGGAUGACGGCCUUCGGGUUGUAAACCUCUUUCAGCAGGGACGAAGCGUGAGUGACGGUACCUGCAGAAGAAGCACCGGCCAACUACGUG